RNAcentral lists this ribosomal RNA (253 nucleotides) under uncultured bacterium. Its description in RNAcentral is "partial 16S ribosomal RNA". It matches the Rfam family "Bacterial small subunit ribosomal RNA", at positions 524 to 776 of the family's 1533-position model. The record is from RNAcentral.
UACGAAGGGGGCUAGCGUUGCUCGGAAUCACUGGGCGUAAAGGGUGCGUAGGCGGGUCUUUAAGUCAGGGGUGAAAUCCUGGAGCUCAACUCCAGAACUGCCUUUGAUACUGAGGAUCUUGAGUUCGGGAGAGGUGAGUGGAACUGCGAGUGUAGAGGUGAAAUUCGUAGAUAUUCGCAAGAACACCAGUGGCGAAGGCGGCCAACUGGUCCGGCACUGACGCUGAGGUGCGAAAGCGUGGGGAGCAAACAGG